This 253-nucleotide ribosomal RNA is filed under the name uncultured bacterium. Its description in RNAcentral is "partial 16S ribosomal RNA". It matches the Rfam family "Bacterial small subunit ribosomal RNA", at positions 524 to 776 of the family's 1533-position model. The record is from RNAcentral.
UACGUAGGGUGCAAGCGUUAAUCGGAAUUACUGGGCGUAAAGCGUGCGCAGGCGGCUUUGCAAGACAGAUGUGAAAGCCCCGGGCUCAACCUGGGAAUGGCAAUGGAUACUGGCAGGCUAGAGUGCGGUAGAGGGUAGUGGAAUUCCCGGUGUAGCGGUGAAAUGCGUAGAGAUCGGGAGGAACACCAGUGGCGAAGGCGGCUACCUGGACCAGCACUGACACUGAGGCACGAAAGCGUGGGGAGCAAACAGG